Molecule: ribosomal RNA, 1533 nt
Filed under: Streptococcus pneumoniae GA44511
Lineage: Bacteria; Bacillati; Bacillota; Bacilli; Lactobacillales; Streptococcaceae
Description: bacterial SSU rRNA
Rfam family: Bacterial small subunit ribosomal RNA
Source: RNAcentral
GAGUUUGAUCCUGGCUCAGGACGAACGCUGGCGGCGUGCCUAAUACAUGCAAGUAGAACGCUGAAGGAGGAGCUUGCUUCUCUGGAUGAGUUGCGAACGGGUGAGUAACGCGUAGGUAACCUGCCUGGUAGCGGGGGAUAACUAUUGGAAACGAUAGCUAAUACCGCAUAAGAGUGGAUGUUGCAUGACAUUUGCUUAAAAGGUGCACUUGCAUCACUACCAGAUGGACCUGCGUUGUAUUAGCUAGUUGGUGGGGUAACGGCUCACCAAGGCGACGAUACAUAGCCGACCUGAGAGGGUGAUCGGCCACACUGGGACUGAGACACGGCCCAGACUCCUACGGGAGGCAGCAGUAGGGAAUCUUCGGCAAUGGACGGAAGUCUGACCGAGCAACGCCGCGUGAGUGAAGAAGGUUUUCGGAUCGUAAAGCUCUGUUGUAAGAGAAGAACGAGUGUGAGAGUGGAAAGUUCACACUGUGACGGUAUCUUACCAGAAAGGGACGGCUAACUACGUGCCUGCAGCCGCGGUAAUACGUAGGUCCCGAGCGUUGUCCGGAUUUAUUGGGCGUAAAGCGAGCGCAGGCGGUUAGAUAAGUCUGAAGUUAAAGGCUGUGGCUUAACCAUAGUAGGCUUUGGAAACUGUUUAACUUGAGUGCAAGAGGGGAGAGUGGAAUUCCAUGUGUAGCGGUGAAAUGCGUAGAUAUAUGGAGGAACACCGGUGGCGAAAGCGGCUCUCUGGCUUGUAACUGACGCUGAGGCUCGAAAGCGUGGGGAGCAAACAGGAUUAGAUACCCUGGUAGUCCACGCUGUAAACGAUGAGUGCUAGGUGUUAGACCCUUUCCGGGGUUUAGUGCCGUAGCUAACGCAUUAAGCACUCCGCCUGGGGAGUACGACCGCAAGGUUGAAACUCAAAGGAAUUGACGGGGGCCCGCACAAGCGGUGGAGCAUGUGGUUUAAUUCGAAAGCAACGCGAAGAACCUUACCAGGUCUUGAAAUCCCUCUGACCGCUCUAGAGAUAGAGUUUUCCUUCGGGACAGAGGUGACAGGUGGUGCAUGGUUGUCGUCAGCUCGUGUCGUGAGAUGUUGGGUUAAGUCCCGCAACGAGCGCAACCCCUAUUGUUAGUUGCCAUCAUUCAGUUGGGCACUCUAGCGAGACUGCCGGUAAUAAACCGGAGGAAGGUGGGGAUGACGUCAAAUCAUCAUGCCCCUUAUGACCUGGGCUACACACGUGCUACAAUGGCUGGUACAACGAGUCGCAAGCCGGUGACGGCAAGCUAAUCUCUUAAAGCCAGUCUCAGUUCGGAUUGUAGGCUGCAACUCGCCUACAUGAAGUCGGAAUCGCUAGUAAUCGCGGAUCAGCACGCCGCGGUGAAUACGUUCCCGGGCCUUGUACACACCGCCCGUCACACCACGAGAGUUUGUAACACCCGAAGUCGGUGAGGUAACCGUAAGGAGCCAGCCGCCUAAGGUGGGAUAGAUGAUUGGGGUGAAGUCGUAACAAGGUAACCGUAUCGGAAGGUGCGGCUGGAUCACC